Molecule: unclassified non-coding RNA, 591 nt
Filed under: Hevea brasiliensis (rubber tree)
Lineage: Eukaryota; Viridiplantae; Streptophyta; Magnoliopsida; Malpighiales; Euphorbiaceae
Source: RNAcentral
AAAAAAAAUCACGAAAAUUUGAAAAGUGAGAAUAGUGAGAUUAUACUUGGUGAUAUGACUUUAGAGGAUUUCUUGAUACAAGCAGGGAUUUAUGCUGAGGCUUCUCCAAGUCCCAUUAUGGGCUUGGAUGCCAUUGAUACUAUGGCAUUGGCAGAGAAGAAUUUUUCACAGAAAAUGGGCUUGUUGUCAUCAUCCCCUUCACUAGGCACACUGUCAGAUACAACGACACCAAAACGGAGAAGGGAUCCCUCAGACACACUAGAGAAGACUAUGGAGCGGAGGCUAAAGAGAAAAAUCAAGAACAGGGAGUCUGCUGCUCGCUCUCGAGCAAGAAAACAGGCCUACCAUAAUGAAUUGGUGAACAAGGUCUCACGCCUUGAAGAGGAGAAUUUAAAGCUCAAGAAAGAGAAGGAAUUCGAGAACACGAUGCAAAGCAAACCCAUCUCGGAACCGAAGUAUCAGCUGCGUAGAACUAGUUCGGCUUCCUUCUAAGCUACAUCCUUCGUUCAAAAGGUAUUAGUUUGGGUUUGUUGGAAGAACAUUGCAUUAGGUAUAUAGAAAGAGUUUGUUGAGUGCAUGUGUGGGAGUGUG